CCUACGGGUGGCUGCAGUGAGGAAUAUUGGUCAAUGGGCGCGAGCCUGAACCAGCCAAGUCGCGUGAGGGAUGACGGUCCUACGGAUUGUAAACCUCUUUUGCCUGGGAACAAGCGUGCGUUCGUGAACGCGCAUCUAGAGUACCCGGGGAAAAAGCAUCGGCUAACCCCGUGCCAGCAGCCGCGGUAAUAGGGAGGAUGCGAGCGUUUUCGGGAUUUAUUGGGUUAAAAGGGUGUGUAGGCGGGAUGUCCAGCCAGCGGUAAAGAUGCGGUGCUCAACGCCGUCGAGCCGGUGAAACUGGCAUUCUUGAGUGGGCGAGAGGUAUGCGGAAUGCGUGGUGUAGCGGUGAAAUGCAUAGAUAUCACGAAGAACUCCGAUUGCGAAGGCAGCAUACCGGCGUCCUACUGACGCUGAGGCACGAAAGCGUGGGUAUCGAACAGGAUUAGAUACCCGGGUAGUC
Molecule: ribosomal RNA, 460 nt
Filed under: uncultured bacterium
Lineage: Bacteria
Description: partial 16S ribosomal RNA
Rfam family: Bacterial small subunit ribosomal RNA
Source: RNAcentral